AGCUUUUCACCAUUUGUAUCAGCUAACUCUCUUCCCGGAUGUGAGUCAUGAUUUAGUUGAUCGUUGGUAACAUUAGUCGAAUUUGUGAAGCCUCUUACCAGGAACACAGUGGUCGGAUUAUACUGACCACAAAUUACAGCUGAAGACAAUGGAACUGAUUCGUAUUGGUUGCUGUGGCAUCUGGACACAGGAAAUACAACAGGUAACUCUCGAUUUCUGCAUUAUUGCUCAACACUUCUGUAAUAUUGAUUUAGUAGUUGGAUAGGUUUGGUAUUUAUAUCUGGAGGUUUUUGCUGAGUGUACAUGCCUAAAGAUGGGUGCUUUUUGCGGUACGCGUUGGCCCCUCUUUUGUUUAAUUGUUUUUCCUUUUUCUUUUUCUCCUUUUUUCCCCGUUUCUCCGAUGGUUUUUAGCCAUGUCCACUGAUAGAUGGUUGAGGCCUUUAGUUGCAUGUAAAUAUCUAUGUCAGUCAGAUGACUUUUUCUGUUUUUAGUUUUUGAAAGGAAUAAAGAGUAUCCGAAAACCCUUUUUUUUUUUUUUUUGGUUUCCAGAUAUUGUACAUCUGAGGUUGAGAAAGAAGCUGUUUCAUGAGCAAAACCAUGUGAUGUCGUUUUGUUGGUUGUGGCUAUACAC
Molecule: long non-coding RNA, 631 nt
Filed under: Nicotiana tabacum (common tobacco)
Lineage: Eukaryota; Viridiplantae; Streptophyta; Magnoliopsida; Solanales; Solanaceae
Description: long non-coding RNA (NTAB_LNC004621)
Source: RNAcentral